This 359-nucleotide ribosomal RNA is filed under the name uncultured Actinomycetes bacterium. RNAcentral describes it as "bacterial SSU rRNA". It matches the Rfam family "Bacterial small subunit ribosomal RNA", at positions 1083 to 1440 of the family's 1533-position model. Lineage: Bacteria; Bacillati; Actinomycetota; Actinomycetes. The record is from RNAcentral.
AGUCCCGCAACGAGCGCAACCCUCGUCCUAUGUUGCCAGCACGUAAUGGUGGGAACUCAUGGGAGACUGCCGGGGUCAACUCGGAGGAAGGUGGGGAUGACGUCAAAUCAUCAUGCCCCUUAUGUCUUGGGCUUCACGCAUGCUACAAUGGCCAGUACAAAGGGCUGCAAUACCGUAAGGUGGAGCGAAUCCCAAAAAGCUGGUCUCAGUUCGGAUUGAGGUCUGCAACUCGACCUCAUGAAGUCGGAGUCGCUAGUAAUCGCAGAUCAGCAACGCUGCGGUGAAUACGUUCCCGGGCCUUGUACACACCGCCCGUCAAGUCACGAAAGUCGGUAACACCCGAAGCCGGUGGCCUAACC